UUUUAGCCCUGAUAGAAGCGAAAAUCAUUUAUUGAGAAAGCCUGUUUUUUCCGGUAUUUACAGAGCGACCGGAGGAAGCUCCUGUAAAGGCCAGGAAAAAAGGAUUUGGAGAUAAAUAUUGCAGCGGAUAGCAGGAUAAGCU
This 142-nucleotide small RNA is filed under the name Flavobacterium chilense. RNAcentral's name for it is "Flavo-1 RNA". It matches the Rfam family "Flavo-1 RNA". Lineage: Bacteria; Pseudomonadati; Bacteroidota; Flavobacteriia; Flavobacteriales; Flavobacteriaceae. The record is from RNAcentral.